UCGUCCGCCUCAUCUCACCCAUCCGUCCAUCUUUCCACCCUCAUCUCAUCCGUCCUUCACCUAGUCCACCCUCCAGGGCCUGACGCCUGGGGGAAACGCUCCUGAGCGAGGCGGCCCGAACCAUGCUCGCUCACCACCUCCACACCACCAGCUGCGACCCCAGGCGAGUGCGGGAAGAACCGACGGGCGGCUCGCAGCGGGGGAGGCGGGGGCAGAGGCCGCCGGGGGACGGGGUGCAUCCCCCUCCUCCACUUCCCCUUCCAAGGGGAGGGGCACCACGCGCCCACGCAGCACACAGCCCGGCGCUGGACGCCAAAACCCGGCCCGGCCCGGCGUGACCCUCCCCCAACUCGGAGGGGGGAGGCACAGGCCGCAUUAGGCAAAAGAGCAGUGCUUGGCCCCCACCAUGGGGGGGCCAGCGCACACCUCGCACAAGGGCGGCUCUUGCCCACACACUGUGGCAAGUAGGCAGCUACUGCCUGCAGACUUCAGAGGAGUAGCUGAAGUCCAGGUACCCCAAGGCCCCCCUCUGAGAGCGCUAGAGAAGACUUUCUCACCGAGGGCGCGUAGUGCCCCACACACCAUCGCUCGCCCCUUCGGGGACCCACGGGAGUGGGAACACUCCCAAAAAGUGGGAAGUCAGAAGGGGGGGGGGUCUGCGGUAUGGGUAAAGCACACAGCCCAUGUGAGCGUCCACGGUCAGAGCCGGGAGGGCAAGAGUCUGUGCUGCCACCAGGCUUGCCUUUCAGACUUUUCCACGUGGGUGGAGGGAUGCCACGUCCGGAAAGCCAGACGGGGACCCCCUCCCCUGAGCUUUAGGAAGCUGCUCGUGGGGCACGCCACCACCACAGUGGGGACCCGAGGGGACUCACCGCUGGGAGAGGAAAACGACACCACCGCUCGGCCUCGGGCAUCUGACAGGCAACCCGGAGUACUCCAGGGGCACCACAGAGGACCAGGGGAGGCACGCUCACGCACCCGCAGGGAUGCGAAGCAUGGCAGCGAGGGAGGCCUCCCCCCCACUUUGGGGAGGGACCGCUCGCAAGGCACACGCCAAGGCGGCAAAGCGAGAAUGCCUGCUGCGUCCCAAAGGACCCAGGCCCCCCCCCUGACUGACACCAGAAGGCAGCAGGGCGGGAGACCAGAGGUCAGGCCAGAGGCCGCACCCCUAUCUUCCCCCACAACACCCGCAGGUGGGGGAGGAGCAGCGAGGGGCCCGCGGACAGAAUGAGAGGUGCGGCCUAGCUCACCGUGAGAGGCUGUCCCUCAUCUGGCGUGGCUUAGGCCCAAGCCCAGGAGAGCGCCACAUCACCACAUUGAUGUAAACCUUUUUUUUUAAUCAUUUCAUAAUUAUGUUGGUUGACUUGUCUGUGAUUCUGAUCUUACAAGGAGAUGAAACUCUUUGUAGCAGUGGGUGAGC
RNAcentral lists this long non-coding RNA (1420 nucleotides) under Sus scrofa (pig). Its description in RNAcentral is "lncRNA (ENSSSCG00015007726.1)". Lineage: Eukaryota; Metazoa; Chordata; Mammalia; Artiodactyla; Suidae. The record is from RNAcentral.